This 253-nucleotide ribosomal RNA is filed under the name uncultured bacterium. RNAcentral's name for it is "partial 16S ribosomal RNA". It matches the Rfam family "Bacterial small subunit ribosomal RNA", at positions 524 to 776 of the family's 1533-position model. The record is from RNAcentral.
UACGGAGGGCGCAAGCGUUGUUCGGAAUUACUGGGCGUAAAGCGCGUGUAGGCGGUCUAGCAAGUCGGUUGUGAAAUCCCCGGGCUCAACCCGGGAACUGCAUCCGAAACUGCUGGGCUAGAGUUUCGGAGAGGAAGGCAGAAUUCCCAAUGUAGGGGUGAAAUCCGUAGAUAUUGGGAGGAAUACCAGUGGCGAAGGCGGCCUUCUGGACGAUGACUGACGCUGAGACGCGAAAGCGUGGGGAGCAAACAGG